RNAcentral lists this long non-coding RNA (234 nucleotides) under Elaeis guineensis (African oil palm). RNAcentral's name for it is "long non-coding RNA (EGUI_LNC036001)". Lineage: Eukaryota; Viridiplantae; Streptophyta; Magnoliopsida; Arecales; Arecaceae. The record is from RNAcentral.
UAUAGGUUAAUAUAGGUAGAAUGAGUCUACCUAAUAAUUUCUCGUAAUAUAUACAGGCAGCCCCACCGUUUGAAAGAUCCCCCCCUCCCAUGCCUCCGUUGCUUAUUCCACUCAAAACAUGUCCAUCACCUUCCUUCUACUCCUCUUCUCCCUUUGGCAUUUCGGCUCUCCAGCCACUGCUCGACCACCAAACUGGGCCGUGCCACUAUCAUUCGACCAGCCGAAAACUUACAN